Molecule: unclassified non-coding RNA, 236 nt
Filed under: Xenomycosphaerella diplazii
Lineage: Eukaryota; Fungi; Ascomycota; Dothideomycetes; Mycosphaerellales; Mycosphaerellaceae
Description: partial contains 5.8S ribosomal RNA, internal transcribed spacer 2, and large subunit ribosomal RNA
Source: RNAcentral
CGCACAUUGCGCCCCUUGGUAUUCCAUGGGGCAUGCCUGUUCGAGCGUCAUUUCACCACUCCAGCCUCGCUGGGUAUUGGGCGCCGCGGUCUCCCGCGCGCCUCAAAGUGCUCCGGCUGAGCCGUCCGCUCUCACCGCGUUGUGAUACAAUAUCGCGAUCGAGUGGGGAGGGCCCCGGCCGUUAAACUCUUUAACAGGUUGACCUCGGAUCAGGUAGGGAUACCCGCUGAACUUAA